This 253-nucleotide ribosomal RNA is filed under the name uncultured bacterium. Its description in RNAcentral is "partial 16S ribosomal RNA". It matches the Rfam family "Bacterial small subunit ribosomal RNA", at positions 524 to 776 of the family's 1533-position model. The record is from RNAcentral.
UACGUAGGUGGCAAGCGUUGUUCGGAAUUACUGGGCGUAAAGGGCUCGUAGGCGGCCAACUAAGUCAGACGUGAAAUCCCUCGGCUUAACCGGGGAACUGCGUCUGAUACUGGAUGGCUAGAGGUUGGGAGAGGGAUGCGGAAUUCCAGGUGUAGCGGUGAAAUGCGUAGAUAUCAGGAGGAACACCUAUAGCGAAGGCAGCUCGCUGGUACGACACUGACGCUAAGGCGCGAAAGCGUGGGGAGCGAACAGG